AAAUCUUGAAUAUACUCAAACAAUUUUUUUGUCUUUUGUAGAUCUUCCAUGCUCCAUUGAAAGAUUAAGGCUUCUGCAGAUCUUCUGUGCUCCAUUGAUCUGCUGAGAAAAUUCAUAAAUAAAUAUUAGCUACUUUUAUCUAUUUUUCCUAUAAAUCUGGUAUAUACACAAACCAUUUAUUUGUUGCUUUUGCAGAAUUCGAGAGGUUCCCAUGCUCCAGAUUCAAGCCUUCAUCUGCAGAGAAAAUUUAGAAAUAAAUAUUGUACAUUGAAUUGUAUUGAGACCGUAAAUGGCCAUAAAAACUAAACAAAAUUAAAAUGAAAGUGCCACAUAAGAACAUAAAAUCUAUAAAANUAGAACAUAAAAAGAUUUGGAACAACUAAGAAAACUAAGAAUAGAUAGAGAAAUUACAACAAAUAUAGAGAGAGAAAGUCUGCGCUGUGAAAAUGCACUGUGAAAUAAUCUCAUAUUUAUAGGCUGAGUUCUUUAACCAAUUGGCUCCAAAGUGAGCAGAUUUUGAAAUUCAAAUAUAAUUUGGCCACAAUUUUUUCUAUUCUUUAUUAAUGGAACCAGCUGGAGCUAGCUGGACAGCAAUCAAAUCCAAAACUGACGGCAUUCUUAAACCCAGCGGAUAAAAUUCAGAAAGAUACAUUGGGCCAAUUGAUGUGGCUCUUGGCGGGAGGCACACUAUCCUAGAAUUCUAUGCUUUAGUAUAUGUAUAGAUUAUGUAAAACGUGAAAAGGAAGAAUGUACAAUUUUCUUGUCUUUAAUUGGAAAAAAACGCAUUAUAUAGAGUUAAUGUAUAUAAAUUUCUAUGUAACCAAUUUAUAAAGAUGC
Molecule: long non-coding RNA, 837 nt
Filed under: Salvia miltiorrhiza (redroot sage)
Lineage: Eukaryota; Viridiplantae; Streptophyta; Magnoliopsida; Lamiales; Lamiaceae
Description: long non-coding RNA (SMIL_LNC008365)
Source: RNAcentral